GAUAAUUUAGCUUGGAUGGUAAAGCGUCUGCCUACAAUGCAGGAGACCUGGGUUCGAUCCCUGGGUCA
Molecule: transfer RNA, 68 nt
Filed under: Bos taurus (domestic cattle)
Lineage: Eukaryota; Metazoa; Chordata; Mammalia; Artiodactyla; Bovidae
Also listed under: 5 other names
Rfam family: tRNA
About the family: Transfer RNA (tRNA) molecules are approximately 80 nucleotides in length. Their secondary structure includes four short double-helical elements and three loops (D, anti-codon, and T loops).
Source: Rfam by way of RNAcentral